GUGCCAGCCGCCGCGGUAACACCGGCAGCUCGAGUGAUGGCCGAUAUUAUUGGGCCUAAAGCGUCCGUAGCCGGUCACGGAAGUCCGUUGGGAAAUCUGCUCGCUCAACGAGCAGGCGUCCGGCGGAAACUCCGUGACUUGGGACCGAGAGAACCGAAGGGUACGUCUGGGGUAGGAGUGAAAUCCCGUAAUCUUGGACGGACCACCGAUGGCGAAAGCACUUCGGUAGAUCGGAUCCGACGGUGAGGGACGAAAGCUAGGGUCACGAACCGGAUUAGAUACCCCGGUAGUCC
This 293-nucleotide ribosomal RNA is filed under the name uncultured bacterium. RNAcentral describes it as "partial 16S ribosomal RNA". It matches the Rfam family "Archaeal small subunit ribosomal RNA", at positions 455 to 747 of the family's 1478-position model. The record is from RNAcentral.